This 1100-nucleotide long non-coding RNA is filed under the name Equus asinus (donkey). RNAcentral's name for it is "lncRNA (ENSEASG00005033466.1)". Lineage: Eukaryota; Metazoa; Chordata; Mammalia; Perissodactyla; Equidae. The record is from RNAcentral.
CUUUGUCCUCCAAGUUCCUGAAAACACAAGUUGUAGGUACCCAUCCGGAUACAGAAGGAGCACUCCUUUCCACUGUGGUUUGAGAUUUUGUCCAGACCUCUGAUGAACUAUGGAGGUAGGUCUCAUGGAGAAUUAAACAAACUGACGACCCCUUGAGAUUGCAUGGCGGUUUGCAGUCUUCACAGAUGUUUACAGAUGUAGUGUCUCAUAUGCUCCUCCCAGAGGCUCAUGGGGUAGGAGUAACAGGAGCUCUAUAGUCGAGCCUUCCCUGUGUGCCAGGUGGGCUUGUACUUGCUCAUUGACUCUUCACACAACCUUGGGAGUUGGGUUCUAGCCCCAUUUUGCAGAUGAGGCUCAGAGAGUUGAAUCUCAGAGAUGAGAUUCCGGAGUUCACGCAGUGGGAAGUGACAGGAUCAGCAUUGUGACCCUUCACAGUCUGCUUCCAAGGUCAGAUGUAAACCACUAUGUGACAUUGGCUCAAUGGCUUUCAGAGAACACACAUGACCUGUCACCUGUACACUGGAAUGAAGACCUAUCUGUCCUGCUCUUUCUUGUUUCAGCUUUCAGCUGGUUUGGGAACCUCUGAAGCUUUGUGCUCAGAUAGUUUCCUCUGCCUAGAUCCACUGUGGCUGUGGUUCCCUCCACUGGCGUCACUCAGGAAUCAGCCUUCUCUCUCUAAGGUCAAGCUCAUGGUUUGAAUCCCUUAAUUUCCUUCAAGUUGACAUUUUACCGUUCCAUGGUCCCAAGCCUCCAGCAGCUUCUAAAGGAGUGAUUUCAGAUAUGCUCUCCCCACAGUUCUUAGAACAAUUCAUUCCAAUCUUGGGACAAUGCCCGGAAUUCAAGAGAACCAGCAUGAUCCUUCCAGCCUGGCGUUUCCUUCCAUCUGCUGUCUAAAGCUCUGUCUACAGGCGUAAACUGCUAGAUGAUAAAACACUCCAAAAGACAGGAAACUUGCCAGAAGCUAGUGAGUCAGGAAGAAGGAAGCCAGGAUUCAACCCUGGUCUUUUCAGAUUCCCACGGGACCGCCUGCGAAGUGUGGUGCCAGGGUGACUUCUGAGGCAAGCCCUGGGGUGUCCUACUUCCCCACUCCCAGAAAGCAG